RNAcentral lists this ribosomal RNA (497 nucleotides) under uncultured bacterium. RNAcentral describes it as "bacterial SSU rRNA". It matches the Rfam family "Bacterial small subunit ribosomal RNA", at positions 28 to 520 of the family's 1533-position model. The record is from RNAcentral.
GAUGAACGCUGGCGGCGUGCCUAACACAUGCAAGUCGAACGGAGUUAACCGCUGAGAAGUCUUCGGAUGGAUCAUGGUUAACUUAGUGGCGGACGGGUGAGUAACGCGUGAGUAACCUGCCUUUCAGAGGGGGAUAACAUUCUGAAAAGAAUGCUAAUACCGCAUAACAUAUUGAUAUCGCAUGGUAUUAAUAUCAAAGGAGCAAUCCGCUGAAAGAUGGACUCGCGUCCGAUUAGCUAGUUGGUGGGGUAAAGGCCUACCAAGGCGACGAUCGGUAGCCGGACUGAGAGGUUGAACGGCCACAUUGGGACUGAGACACGGCCCAGACUCCUACGGGAGGCAGCAGUGGGGAAUAUUGCGCAAUGGGGGAAACCCUGACGCAGCAACGCCGCGUGAAGGACGAAGGUCUUCGGAUUGUAAACUUCUUUUAUUAAGGACGAAACAAAUGACGGUACUUAAUGAAUAAGCUCCGGCUAACUACGUGCCAGCAGCCGCCG